This 253-nucleotide ribosomal RNA is filed under the name uncultured bacterium. Its description in RNAcentral is "partial 16S ribosomal RNA". It matches the Rfam family "Bacterial small subunit ribosomal RNA", at positions 524 to 776 of the family's 1533-position model. The record is from RNAcentral.
UACAGAGGGGGCAAGCGUUGUUCGGAAUUACUGGGCGUAAAGGGCGCGUAGGCGGCCUUCUAAGUCGAACGUGAAAUCCCCGGGCUCAACCCGGGAACUGCGUCCGAUACUGGAAGGCUUGAAUCCGGGAGAGGGAUGUGGAAUUCCAGGUGUAGCGGUGAAAUGCGUAGAUAUCUGGAGGAACACCGGUGGCGAAGGUGGGUCUCUGGGCAACAACUGACGCUGAGGAGCGAAAGCGUGGGGAGCGAACAGG